RNAcentral lists this long non-coding RNA (1437 nucleotides) under Numida meleagris (helmeted guineafowl). RNAcentral describes it as "lncRNA (ENSNMEG00000009623.1)". The record is from RNAcentral. Lineage: Eukaryota; Metazoa; Chordata; Aves; Galliformes; Numididae.
GUUCUUACCCACGAGCUAUGCAGCAGAUAUAUUCAUCAUCCCCCCCACCCAGUGGAGCUCCAUACAUUCGAGUUGCUCUCUCACAUCAAGAGCAGCUCCACCACCUUGCCUCACCCGCCUGUCUUUCCUAAAGAGCACAUAGCUGUCCACGACAGCAUUCCAGUCACAUGAGCUGUCCCACCACGUCUCCGUGACCGCAAUGAGAUCACAUCCCUGUAAGCACACACAGAUCUCUGGUCCUUCCUGUUUAUUCCCCACGCGGGGUGCAUUGCUAUACGGGCACUGGGAGAGGGACAGUUCUUGCAGGCAGGCUCUCUGGAGAGGUUAUCUGGGCGGCCAAUGGGGGGCCUCAGUGCCUCCUGGCAAGGAGUCCCCCGUCACUAAGACAAUGCUGGCGCGGAACGCGUCCGCCCCAGAGCCGAGUGCCUCCAAAAACAUGCUGUGUUUUGGGGCCAGCAAGGUUGCCAGGCAUGCUGUCUGGUCCCCAGCCCAGGGCACGUCAAUCUCUGUGAGGUGACACUCCUCGGUGCGAUGUCACAGUGGCUGUCUCUUAGUCCCCUGUGGCAGCGGUGGGAGCGGUGGCUCAGUAGCUUGUGGAAGCUGCAGGAGGAGGACCCAGAGAGAGCAUUGUGUCUAUCUGGAGAGAUCCUGCUGUGAUGGAGCGGCUGAGAGCCCUUCGAGGUCUCUUUGCUUGUGUGGGCUGCAUGCCCAGGCGUACGCGUCGCGGGAGCGGAGGCAGGGUGGCAAGCUCUGUCCCUGCUUGUCCCGUGACUUCGCUGCUGCAGCGCCUGCAAGACAAGGAGGGUGACCGAGCGCAGGCGUACUGCCAGCUGGAGAGCGCCCUGUGGGAAGAGGGCAGCCGCCCGCCGUGCGGGGUGGCGAACCGGCUGCUGGCAGAGGUGUCCCGGGACCUGACGGCGGCCCAGGGCGUGACAGACAACCUGAGGGUGGCUGCCAGCAAUGUCCUGGUGGCUCUGGCGCGGUCGCACUUCAGCUUGGUGAUGGCCGAGCUCCAGGGCCACCUGAAGGCCAUGGGGGAGAUGUCCAAGGAGUUUGUGCUCAUCACCCUCAGCAAGCUGUUCAGCAUCUACGCUCCGCAGUGCAUCGCCUUCAUGUGGCUGAUACUGGCCGGCCUGCGCAGCGUGGCCGGCCAGGUGAGGAGCGGCCGCACCCUGCGCGUCGCUUGUGCUGUUGUGAAACAAUGGUCAGAAGGAGUCCAGUUUCACCUGUACUCGGGAAAGCAAUGCUCCUGGCCCACCACGGAGAAAGAGCGAAUCUAUGAGAAUCUUUACCAGCUCCUCUGCUCCGUGGUGAGGAACUGGCAGGGCUGCGAGGAGGAACAGGUGAGCACUGCUGCAGUCCCAUCCCGGGAUGGCAGCGGGGACAUCCACGCUGGCAGCUCUGUCUGUGCCCAGUAGGCUGAGAGCAGAGGGCUGA